Small nucleolar RNA from Otolemur garnettii (small-eared galago), 125 nucleotides. Lineage: Eukaryota; Metazoa; Chordata; Mammalia; Primates; Galagidae. The record is from Ensembl.
CCACCCCCCAGAGACAUUGCAGGUAUGGCUGCUAUGCCCCCUUUGGGCCAUUAGGUGGCAGAGAGAACAGAGGCUUUGUCUACGUUCUGACCCAUGAACACUUGCAUGACUAUUAGUCUGACACU